RNAcentral lists this ribosomal RNA (466 nucleotides) under uncultured bacterium. RNAcentral's name for it is "partial 16S ribosomal RNA". It matches the Rfam family "Bacterial small subunit ribosomal RNA", at positions 30 to 507 of the family's 1533-position model. The record is from RNAcentral.
CGACCGCUGGCGGCGUGCUUAACACAUGCACGUCGAACGGAAAGGCCCUGCUUUUGUGGGGUGCUCGAGUGGCGAACGGGUGAGUAACACGUGAGUAACCUGCCCUUGACUUUGGGAUAACUUCAGGAAACUGGGGCUAAUACCGGAUAGGAGCUCCUGCUGCAUGGUGGGGGUUGGAAAGUUUCGGCGGUUGGGGAUGGACUCGCGGCUUAUCAGCUUGUUGGUGGGGUAGUGGCUUACCAAGGCUUUGACGGGUAGCCGGCCUGAGAGGGUGACCGGCCACAUUGGGACUGAGAGACGGCCCAGACUCCUACGGGAGGCAGCAGUGGGGAAUAUUGCACAAUGGGCGGAAGCCUGAUGCAGCAACGCCGCGUGCGGGAUGACGGCCUUCGGGUUGUAAACCGCUUUCGCCUGUGACGAAGCGUGAGUGACGGUAAUGGGUAAAGAAGCACCGGCUAACUACGUG